ACGUAGGGGGCAAGCGUUGUCCGGAUUCACUGGGUGUAAAGGGCGCGCAGGCGGGUUAACAAGUCAGAGGUGAAAUCCUACAGCUUAACUGUAGAACUGCCUUUGAUACUUUCAUUCUUGAGUUCGGGAGAGAGAGACGGAAUUCCAGGUGUAGUGGUGAAAUACGUAGAUAUCUGGAAGAACACCAGUUGCGAAGGCGGUCUCUUGGUCCGAUACUGACGCUCAGGCGCGAAAGCGUGGGGAGCAAACAG
RNAcentral lists this ribosomal RNA (251 nucleotides) under uncultured prokaryote. Its description in RNAcentral is "partial 16S ribosomal RNA". It matches the Rfam family "Bacterial small subunit ribosomal RNA", at positions 525 to 775 of the family's 1533-position model. The record is from RNAcentral.